UACGAAGGACCCGAGCGUUAUCCGGAUUUAUUGGGUUUAAAGGGUGCGUAGGCGGAUUAAUAAGCCAGUGGUGAAAGCCCAUCGCUUAACGAUGGAACUGCCAUUGAUACUGUUAGUCUUGAGUAUGGUUGAGGUGGGCGGAAUGUGUCAUGUAGCGGUGAAAUGCUUAGAUAUGACACAGAACACCAAUUGCGAAGGCAGCUCGCUAAACCAUAACUGACGCUGAUGCACGAAAGCGUGGGGAGCAAACAGG
Molecule: ribosomal RNA, 253 nt
Filed under: uncultured bacterium
Lineage: Bacteria
Description: partial 16S ribosomal RNA
Rfam family: Bacterial small subunit ribosomal RNA
Source: RNAcentral